RNAcentral lists this transfer RNA (67 nucleotides) under Sialis kuwayamai. RNAcentral describes it as "tRNA-Asp". Lineage: Eukaryota; Metazoa; Arthropoda; Insecta; Megaloptera; Sialidae. The record is from RNAcentral.
AAAGAAUUAGUUAAUUCAUAACAUUAGUAUGUCAAACUAAAAUUAUUAAUAUUUUUAAUAUUCUUUA